GCCCAGGUGGUGAAAUUGGUAGACGCGCUGGCUUCAGGUGCCAGUGUCAGCAAUGACGUGGAGGUUCGAGUCCUCUCCUGGGCACCA
Molecule: transfer RNA, 87 nt
Filed under: Armatimonadota bacterium
Lineage: Bacteria; Bacillati; Armatimonadota
Also listed under: 1 other name
Description: Armatimonadetes bacterium (activated sludge metagenome) tRNA-Leu
Rfam family: tRNA
About the family: Transfer RNA (tRNA) molecules are approximately 80 nucleotides in length. Their secondary structure includes four short double-helical elements and three loops (D, anti-codon, and T loops).
Source: RNAcentral